UACGGGGGGGGCAAGCGUUGUUCGGAAUUACUGGGCGUAAAGGGCUCGUAGGCGGCCAACUAAGUCCGACGUGAAAUCCCCAGGCUUAACCUGGGAACUGCGUCGGAUACUGGAUGGCUUGAAUUCGGGAGAGGGAUGCAGAAUUCCAGGUGUAGCGGUGAAAUGCGUAGAUAUCUGGAGGAAUACCGGUGGCGAAGGCGGCAUCCUGGACCGGCAUUGACGCUGAGGAGCGAAAGCCAGGGGAGCAAACGGG
This 253-nucleotide ribosomal RNA is filed under the name uncultured bacterium. Its description in RNAcentral is "partial 16S ribosomal RNA". It matches the Rfam family "Bacterial small subunit ribosomal RNA", at positions 524 to 776 of the family's 1533-position model. The record is from RNAcentral.